RNAcentral lists this ribosomal RNA (425 nucleotides) under uncultured Acidobacterium sp. Its description in RNAcentral is "bacterial SSU rRNA". It matches the Rfam family "Bacterial small subunit ribosomal RNA", at positions 959 to 1385 of the family's 1533-position model. Lineage: Bacteria; Pseudomonadati; Acidobacteriota; Terriglobia; Terriglobales; Acidobacteriaceae. The record is from RNAcentral.
ACGCGAAGAACCUUACCCAGGCUUGAACAGCGAGUGACCAGCGAUGAAAGUCGCCUUCCGCAAGGACACUCGUAGAGGUGCUGCAUGGCUGUCGUCAGCUCGUGUCGUGAGAUGUUGGGUUAAGUCCCGCAACGAGCGCAACCCUUGUUUGCUGUUGCCAUCACGUUAUGGUGGGCACUCUGCAAAGACUGCCGGUGAUAAACCGGAGGAAGGUGGGGAUGACGUCAAGUCAGCAUGGCCUUUAUGUCUGGGGCUACACACGUGCUACAAUGGCCGAUACAAACCGUCGCAAAACCGUAAGGUCGAGCUAAUCGGAGAAAGUCGGUCUCAGUUCGGAUUGCAGGCUGCAACUCGCCUGCAUGAAGUUGGAAUCGCUAGUAAUCGCGGAUCAGCACGCCGCGGUGAAUACGUUCCCGGGCCUUGUA